AGUGAACGCUGGCGGAAGGCUUUACACAUGCAAGUCGAACGGCAGCACGGGGGCAGCCCGGGUUGCGAGUUGCGGACGGGUGAGUAAUACAUCGGAACGUGCCCGGUCGUGGGGGAGAACGUAGCGAAAGAUACGCUAAUACCGCAUACGAUCUGAGGAUGAAAGCGGGGGACCUUCGGGCCUCGCGCGAUCGGAGCAGCCGAUGUCAGAUUAGGUAGUUGGUGGGGUAAAGGCCUACCAAGCCGACGAUCUGUAGCUGGUCUGAGAGGAUGACCAGCCACACUGGGACUGAGACACGGCCCAGACUCCUACGGGAGGCAGCAGUGGGGAAUUUUGGACAAUGGGCGCAAGCCUGAUCCAGCCAUUCCGCGUGCAGGAAGAAGGCCUUCGGGUUGUAAACUGCUUUUGUACGGAAAGAAAAGGCUCUGGCUAAUACCUGGGGCUCAUGACGGUACCGUAAGAAUAAGCACCGGCUAACUACGUG
Molecule: ribosomal RNA, 484 nt
Filed under: uncultured bacterium
Lineage: Bacteria
Description: partial 16S ribosomal RNA
Rfam family: Bacterial small subunit ribosomal RNA
Source: RNAcentral